This 76-nucleotide transfer RNA is filed under the name Gammaproteobacteria bacterium. RNAcentral describes it as "tRNA-Ala". It matches the Rfam family "tRNA". From Rfam's summary of the family: Transfer RNA (tRNA) molecules are approximately 80 nucleotides in length. Their secondary structure includes four short double-helical elements and three loops (D, anti-codon, and T loops). RNAcentral also lists the same sequence under 1 other name. Lineage: Bacteria; Pseudomonadati; Pseudomonadota; Gammaproteobacteria. The record is from RNAcentral.
GGGGCUAUAGCUCAGCUGGGAGAGCGCCUCGCUGGCAGCGAGGAGGUCGUCGGUUCGAAACCGUCUAGCUCCACCA